Molecule: ribosomal RNA, 460 nt
Filed under: uncultured bacterium
Lineage: Bacteria
Description: partial 16S ribosomal RNA
Rfam family: Bacterial small subunit ribosomal RNA
Source: RNAcentral
CCUACGGGGGGCAGCAGUGAGGAAUAUUGGUCAAUGGACGAGAGUCUGAACCAGCCAAGUAGCGUGAAGGAUGACUGCCCUAUGGGUUGUAAACUUCUUUUAUAUGGGAAUAAAAUGUUCCACGUGUGGGAUUUUGUAUGUACCAUAUGAAUAAGGAUCGGCUAACUCCGUACCAGCAGCCGCGGUAAUACGGAGGAUCCGAGCGUUAUCCGGAUUUAUUGGGUUUAAAGGGAGCGUAGGUGGAUUGUUAAGUCAGUUGUGAAAGUUUGCGGCUCAACCGUAAAAUUGCAGUUGAAACUGGCAGUCUUGAGUACAGUAGAGGUGGGCGGAAUUCGUGGUGUAGCGGUGAAAUGCUUAGAUAUCACGAAGAACUCCGAUUGCGAAGGCAGUUCACUGGACUGCAACUGACACUGAGGCUCGAAAGUGUGGGUAUCAAACAGGAUUAGAUACCCUAGUAGUC